CCUACGGGUGGCUGCAGUGGGGAAUAUUGCACAAUGGGGGAAACCCUGAUGCAGCGACGCCGCGUGAGUGAAGAAGUAAUUCGUUACGUAAAGCUCUAUCAGCAGGGAAGUAAAUGACGGUACCUGAGUAAGAAGCCCCGGCUAACUACGUGCCAGCAGCCGCGGUAAUAAGUAGGGGGCAAGCGUUAUCCGGAUUUACUGGGGGUAAAGGGAGCGUAGACGGUGGGCCAAGUCUGGAGUGAAAUUCCUCAGCUUAACUGCGGAACUGCUUUGGAAACUGGGGAACUAGAGUGCGGGAGGGGGAAGCGGAAUGCCUAGUGUAGCGGUGAAAUGCGUAGAUAUUAGGAGGAACCCCGGUGGCGAAGGCGGCUUACUGGACCGUAACUGACGUUGAGGCUCGAAAGCGUGGGGAGCAAACAGGAUUAGAUACCCGGGUAGUC
RNAcentral lists this ribosomal RNA (440 nucleotides) under uncultured bacterium. RNAcentral describes it as "partial 16S ribosomal RNA". It matches the Rfam family "Bacterial small subunit ribosomal RNA", at positions 338 to 795 of the family's 1533-position model. The record is from RNAcentral.